RNAcentral lists this small nuclear RNA (126 nucleotides) under Saimiri boliviensis boliviensis (Bolivian squirrel monkey). RNAcentral's name for it is "U2 spliceosomal RNA (ENSSBOG00000009187.1)". It matches the Rfam family "U2 spliceosomal RNA", at positions 1 to 127 of the family's 192-position model. Rfam says of the family: U2 is a small nuclear RNA (snRNA) component of the spliceosome (involved in pre-mRNA splicing). Complementary binding between U2 snRNA (in an area lying towards the 5' end but 3' to hairpin I) and the branchpoint sequence (BPS) of the intron results the bulging out of an unpaired adenosine, on the BPS, which initiates a nucleophilic attack at the intronic 5' splice site, thus starting the first of two transesterification reactions that mediate splicing. The record is from RNAcentral. Lineage: Eukaryota; Metazoa; Chordata; Mammalia; Primates; Cebidae.
AUGGCUUCUCAGCCCCUUGGCUAUGAUCAAAUGUAGUAUCCAUUCUUAUCAGUUUAAUAUCUGAUACGUCCUCUAUCCAAGGACAAUAUAUUAAAUGGAUUUUUGGAGCAGGGAAAAAGAAAAAUU